AACGAACGCUGGCGGCGUGCCUAACACAUGCAAGUCGAACGAGAAAGCCCGCAAGGGUAAGUAGAGUGGCGAACGGGUGAGUAAUGAAUAGGAACGUACCUAUGGGUGGGGGUAACCAAGGGAAACGUUGGCUAAUACCGCAAAAGACCGCCAAGGCAAAGGAGGCGUCGGGCUACCGAGCUUUCACCGGAAGAGGGGGCUAUUUCCCAUUAGCUAGUUGGCGGGGUAAGAGCCCACCAAGGCAACGAUGGGUAGCUGGUCUGAGAGGACGAUCAGCCACACUGGAACUGAGACACGGUCCAGACUCCUACGGGAGGCAGCAGUGGGGAAUCUUGCACAAUGGGCGAAAGCCUGAUGCAGCAACGCCGCGUGAGUGAAGAAGGCCUUUGGGUUGUAAAGCUCUUUCGGUUGGGAAGAAGGGAAUAUGGGCUAAUACCUCAUAUUUUGACGGUACCAGCAUAAGAAGCACCGGCUAAUUCCGUGCCAGCCGCCGCAGUAA
This 499-nucleotide ribosomal RNA is filed under the name uncultured bacterium. RNAcentral's name for it is "partial 16S ribosomal RNA". It matches the Rfam family "Bacterial small subunit ribosomal RNA", at positions 29 to 523 of the family's 1533-position model. The record is from RNAcentral.